This 300-nucleotide unclassified non-coding RNA is filed under the name uncultured Pleosporales. RNAcentral describes it as "sequence contains ITS1". The stretch from base 1 to 105 matches the Rfam family "5.8S ribosomal RNA", at positions 50 to 154 of the family's 154-position model. Lineage: Eukaryota; Fungi; Ascomycota; Dothideomycetes; Pleosporales. The record is from RNAcentral.
GAAAUGCGAUAAGUAGUGUGAAUUGCAGAAUUCAGUGAAUCAUCGAAUCUUUGAACGCACAUUUCGCCCCUUGGUAUUCCAUGGGGCAUGCCUGUUCGAGCGUCAUUUGUACCCUCAAGCUUUGCUAGGUGUUGGGCGUCUUGUCCUCUUCUGGAGGACUCGCCUCAAGACAAUUGGCAGCCGGCAUAUUGGGAUCCGAGCACAGCACAAGUCGCACUUUGUUACAUGAAUGUUGGCAUCCAUCAAGACCAUGUUUUCACUCUUGACCUCGGAUAAGGUAGGGAUACCCGCUGAACUUAA